Molecule: ribosomal RNA, 482 nt
Filed under: uncultured Mycobacterium sp.
Lineage: Bacteria; Bacillati; Actinomycetota; Actinomycetes; Mycobacteriales; Mycobacteriaceae
Description: bacterial SSU rRNA
Rfam family: Bacterial small subunit ribosomal RNA
Source: RNAcentral
AGAGUUUGAUCCUGGCUCAGGACGAACGCUGGCGGCGUGCUUAACACAUGCAAGUCGAACGGAAAGGCCCUUUGGGGUACUCGAGUGGCGAACGGGUGAGUAACACGUGGGUGAUCUGCCCUGCACUUCGGGAUAAGCCUGGGAAACUGGGUCUAAUACCGGAUAUGACCUUGGGAUGCAUGUCCUUUGGUGGAAAGCUUUUGCGGUGUGGGAUGGGCCCGCGGCCUAUCAGCUUGUUGGUGAGGUUAAGGCCUACCAAGGCGACGACGGGUAGCCGGCCUGAGAGGGUGACCGGCCACACUGGGACUGAGAUACGGCCCAGACUCCUACGGGAGGCAGCAGUGGGGAAUAUUGCACAAUGGGCGCAAGCCUGAUGCAGCGACGCCGCGUGCGGGACGACGGCCUUCGGGUUGUAAACCUCUUUCAGCACAGACGAAGCGCGAGUGACGGUAUGUGCAGAAGAAGGACCGGCCAACUACGUG